This 78-nucleotide signal recognition particle RNA is filed under the name Sulfurimicrobium sp. Its description in RNAcentral is "partial signal recognition particle sRNA small type". It matches the Rfam family "Bacterial small signal recognition particle RNA", at positions 22 to 97 of the family's 97-position model. From Rfam's summary of the family: The signal recognition particle (SRP) is a universally conserved ribonucleoprotein involved in the co-translational targeting of proteins to membranes. Archaeal SRP consists of a 7S RNA and homologues of the eukaryotic SRP19 and SRP54 proteins. In most bacteria, the SRP consists of a 4.5S RNA and the Ffh protein (a homologue of the eukaryotic SRP54 protein). The record is from RNAcentral. Lineage: Bacteria; Pseudomonadati; Pseudomonadota; Betaproteobacteria; Nitrosomonadales; Sulfuricellaceae.
AGGUGGUGAAUCUGGUCAGGGGCGGAAGCCAGCAGCCACAGCCAUUUACUGCAAGUGCCGGGGGUCAGGCUCGCCACC